UUUAUGAAUAAUUUUAGUCACUGAUAUGCUUCACAGAAUAUUAGGGCAGAACUUCUUGAGUAAUUUAAAGUCAGGGUACAAGACAAGACCAGAAACCAAACCCAUUUAGUAUUUUUAGGAUCUGUUAUUAUUAGAUCAUUAUGUUGAAACAAAAUUACUGGGGACUUAAUACUAUUUUAAAAUUAUUUCAGAAGGAUGUAGUCACUGUCUUAUUAUAUUUCUUCAAUAUUUAUUCUUCUCUGCUUAGUUUCAUAUUAGAAGUGAACAUUAAUAUGUGGAUAGUUUGAAGCAGGUUUGUGCACACUUACUUUUUUUUACCCAUAUGUAACUCUCAUUUUCUUUUUUUUUCUGGUAAAGGCUGCAGAUUUUCUAAUAUGCUAAAUUAUCUAAAAAUCUUUGCAUGACUUUGGUGACUGAGAAUUUUUUUUGACUGUGAGGCAUUUGGUCUGAUUUAUAUUUGAAGGCAGGAAAUAAGAAGAAGCAUUUUGAAGAUGGAAUGACAUAUGAUGAAUUAGAGAUGUGGAAGCAAGGAAGUCUUAAGUCUCACUGCACAACCACAGCGAAAGAAACCACAAGACAAUUCCUACAAACUUCCCCAGGAUAGAACAAGCUUUAGAAGAACCAGAUCAGCAUUUGAAAACAAUAGAAUCACAGGUCUCAAAAUGCAGAGAUAAUAGGUUUGGACAGAUGUGACUGUAAUGUUGUCAGCUGCUGCUAUUCCAUAUCAAGCCUCUAAUAUUUGCUGUUUAUCCUUCAAGCCAAAGCCUGUGAAGACCAGUGAUUAGAAGCAAAUAUUAGCUGGUUUUUUUUGGUUUGUAACGGAGAUUCUGAGAAAAUCUUGAAGUCAUGACAAAAAGGUACACUAACAGUUAAAAAUACACACAACAAAAAUAGCCAGCAACUGUUUAUUUUAAAUCUCAGAUUUUUUAUGACCAACUGUUUCAAGACCAGAGCUAUGGUUUACUUGUGAUACACGGUUUGCAUGUGAUAACUAAAUGAUGUAACUGAGGGCAGAAAUUGGUCAAUGGAUUCUUGUAAAUUAUGAUGGUAAAAGGAAGGAAUUAAGUAGCUUGAAAUUCAGAUUGUAUUUCCAGAGAUCCAACAGGGAUUUUGUCAGUUCUUUUAAAUCUGGAGCUUUUUUCCCCGACAGAUAUUUUCCCAUAAAAGUAUUUUGUAAUUGGAAGGGAAAAAACUAAACAAACAAAAACCCUCACCGAAUAGUCAGAAGGCAUUGUGAUACAAAAACUACUAAAGCCCUGAGUUACUCUGACUUUUUUCAGGAUGUAACAAUUUUUAGUAUGAGAACUGUAAGGAAAAUCAUAAAACAAGCUGUAUGCUAAGAUUUGCAAAACUGCAGUGCAAAGAAAUCAAGAUGGGCAAAUUUUUUUCAGUUUUAUGUAAAUCAGAGUCUUUCUGACUUCUGCUUCUGAUAUUUAGAAGUCUCUUAUUUUUCCUUGUCUCUCACACCUUUGCUGGAAGUGCUUCCUGUUGCAGGAGCUGAUUCACAUAUGUUUUCUUAGGUCCAGGUGACUAGCAGCUGUUUCAAUCUUUGUCCUAGUUAAACUGACCAAUACUUGGUGACAGCUAGGUACCAGAAAAGAGCAUUUUCUUGUCCUUUGUUGAUUAUUACAGCCUAUACAUCAGGCAAGAUUGCUUUUGAUUGCAAUGAGAUGAUAGAAGGAAGAAAGCAAUUUCCAGCUGUGAGUUUUAAUUUCUGUUGUUUGGCAGAU
Non-coding RNA from Cyanistes caeruleus (blue tit), 1730 nucleotides. The record is from RefSeq and is a predicted model, not a curated record. Lineage: Eukaryota; Metazoa; Chordata; Aves; Passeriformes; Paridae.